GAGACUGUCUCAAAAAAAAAGAAAAAAAAAAAAAAGGCAAAUCCACAGAGACAGAAAGUAGGAGGGCAAGUUGAAGACAUCUUCAGAUGACAAACAAAAGCAGAGUUAGCUGCCAUAGGCCCUUAUCAUGGAAACUACUGAAGAAUGAACCUAAGACACAAGAAAACUGAACCCAAAAGGAAAUAGGGAAAUGCAAUAAAAAAUGGGGCUUCUCCCACCCUUUGCUCUGCACUUCUUGCUGCCACCAUGUGAAGAAGGAUGUGUUUGCUUCCCCUUCCACCAUGAUUGUAAGUUUCCUGAGGCAUCUGCAGCCAUGAAGAACUGUGAGUCAAUUAAACCUCUUUAUAAAUUACCCAGUCUCCAGCCAUUCUUUAUAGCUCUUUAUAGGGGUGUGAGAACAGACUAACAAGGGGUUUGAAGAUGGGUAAUCAGUGCUAAAUCUUGCAAAUGGCCAGGAGGAGGGAUGUUAGUGACAAAGGUUUGUUUUUCCGAGACCCUUCAAUCAAUCACCCUCAUGCUUAAUUUUCCUACAUGGAGCUUUAGGGGAAGCUAUGAGGAACAUGGUUUCUGACACAUAGUAAGUGUUCAGUAAAUAUUUGCUGACCAGAUAUAGUGGAAGUGCCUCGUCUUCUAGUCUGUUUGGUCUCAGCUGCAGAAGCGAGAUGAUGAAGGGAAUGUCAUCGUUUGGGAAGCAUCACAAUAAGACACACACGUUGUACCACCACUAUGGCUCUAAGGCCUACCACCUCCAGAAGACGACCUGUGGCAAAUGUGGCUACCCUGCCAAACACAAGAGAAAGUAUAACUGGGUGCCAAGGCUAAACGGUGAAAUACCACCAGGACUGGUUGAAUGAGACACCUAAAAAUUGUUUGCCGCAGACUGAGGCCAGAUUCUGAAAAGGAACAACACCUAAACCCAAGAGGGCAGCUGUUGCAGCAUCCAGUUCAUCUUAAGAAUUUCAAUGAUUAGUCAUGUGAUAAAUGUUCUAGUUUAAAAAAAAAA
Piliocolobus tephrosceles (Ugandan red Colobus) is the source of this 1003-nucleotide long non-coding RNA. RefSeq lists it as uncharacterized. Lineage: Eukaryota; Metazoa; Chordata; Mammalia; Primates; Cercopithecidae. The record is from RefSeq and is a predicted model, not a curated record. The transcript has 3 exons.